CACGGCGCUGAGUGCCCUGGGGCCGUGGGACAGACCGGGGACUCGCUCGGCUUACCGGUCUUGUCCAGCCGAAUUGAUUCUAUCAUUCGGUGGUGCCCCCCCGGCUGUUUGGGCGGUACACGUAACCCUAACCCUGGUACCGAAAUGGGCCCUUUGCUGACCCCAGGUGACCUCACCCCAGAUCUGUCGUGGGAAAUUGUGAAUGGCCCAUCCCUGGAAGUGUUGCAGGCCAGGCUGGAUGGGGCUCUGAGGAACCCGGGCUAUGGAAGGUGUCCCUGCCCAUGGCAGGGGCUGGGACGAGAUGGUCUUUGAGGUCCCUUUCAACCCGAGUCAUUCUCCUCCUCUCCUGAAGACAGGCACCAACCUGGCACUUUUUCAGCCCCCUAGAAUUGCCCUGGUCAAUCAGGGCUCACUAAGGAGGAAUGCCAGCACACAAGUCUGCAGUCAGCUGUUUCCAACCUCCUGGGCCACAGUUAUCCCUGGAAGACAAGAGCUCCACUGGUCACUAAUGCACUGAAAUGAAUCACAGCCCUGUCAGGUGACCCCCACACAGGGAUCUUCCUGCUUCUUUACAGACACAGAUCAUAAAUGUUCCAUGAACACUUCUGCAUUGUUAUUGACAUUUUAAUCAUGUCCAUCUAGUAAUGGGCCUGUACCAUUCACUUGUAGUUUUCUGGGAUUUAGCCUUGCCAGCUAUGGAUUUCCUUUGAUGUGCUUCACUUCCAAUAACUACUCAGUUUCUCAUUUAUACCAACACUUCCUUAUUUCCUGCUUUCUCCAUUUUGGCUAUUUCUUUUUUUUAAUUUUACUCACACUCUCCAGUCCAUUAAUAAAACAAGAGUUGUCAAUGUUUUUUCUCUCUUGAAGUUGUGGCUCUUUGAUUGCCCAAUGAAUUCUUUAAAAAGAGCUCAUAAUUGUAAUUUUUAGACUUCUACCUAUUUUUUUUCUUCCUGCUUGCACUCCUAUUUUCUGAUGAUUUGGAAAUACAUGUCUUUUAGAGCACCAGGUGUAUGCAAACCUAGGUCACAAACACUGCACCCCAGCCAACCACUGAAUUGCAAUCCAGGGAUCUCUGUUUGGGUUUUUUUACUUCCCUCAUUAUAACAAAGUCCAAAAGAACUUACC
Molecule: long non-coding RNA, 1125 nt
Organism: Melospiza melodia melodia
Lineage: Eukaryota; Metazoa; Chordata; Aves; Passeriformes; Passerellidae
Exons: 3
Source: RefSeq, a predicted model, not a curated record